This 459-nucleotide ribosomal RNA is filed under the name uncultured bacterium. Its description in RNAcentral is "SSU rRNA". It matches the Rfam family "Bacterial small subunit ribosomal RNA", at positions 26 to 518 of the family's 1533-position model. The record is from RNAcentral.
AGAAUCAACGCUGGCGGCGUGCCUAACACAUGCAAGUCGAACGAGAAAGGGGAGCAAUCCCUGAGUAAAGUGGCGCACGGGUGAGUAACACGUGACUAACCUACCCUGGAGUGGGGGAUAACUGAGGGAAACCUUAGCUAAUACCGCAUAACACCUACGGGUCAAAGGAGCAAUUCGCUUUGGGAGGGGGUCGCGGCCGAUUAGUUAGUUGGCGGGGUAAUGGCCCACCAAGACAGUGAUCGGUAUCCGGCCUGAGAGGGCGCACGGACACACUGGAACUGAAACACGGUCCAGACUCCUACGGGAGGCAGCAGUGGGGAAUUUUGCGCAAUGGGGAAACCCUGACGCAGCAACGCCGCGUGGAGGAUGAAGUACUUCGGUACGUAAACUCCUUUCGAUCGGGACGAUAAUGACGGUACCGGAAGAAGAAGCCCCGGCUAACUUCGUGCCAGCAGCCGC